GUGAAGAUGCAGUUCAGAGGUUGUCCAGCAGGUGCGGCCACCUCCUGCUUUGGGUCCAAUCAGGCUCCAGAUUCCAAAGCUGAGAUCUUCUUGACAAACAUUAAUAGACUGCUUCCUAGUUGUAACUCACCUAAUCUGGAACCCGCUGCUCCUCUGACAACAACAGAGAGAAAACAUCCAAACUGAUGACAAAACUAUUUGUUUUCGCUUCUUUCAAUUUGACAUUUGUGGUUUUUCAUUUCUGUUUUCUCUGUCAUGCUAUUUUUUGGUGGAUAAUCUUUUUUCCCCUUAUUUCUCAGGUUCUUUUUUUUCUUGUGGCCAUGCCUUGUCUGCUUCCUCCUUACAUCGGAGAGACUGAAACAGAAGCAGGUUGAGUGUAUAAAUGAGGUUAGGUCAGUUCAGAAUUUUCAGUCAUUGAUGGGAACCCGUCCCCUUUUUCUCUUGAACUCAGAUGCACUUCUUGUUUCUUUUUGGAAAGUAGUCUUUUCAAUUGUCCUUCCAGAUGAGAUGUUUGUUUAGAGCAGGGGUUCUUAAACUUCUUCAAACAAGGAUAAA
Long non-coding RNA from Austrofundulus limnaeus, 555 nucleotides. RefSeq lists it as uncharacterized. The record is from RefSeq and is a predicted model, not a curated record. The transcript has 3 exons. Lineage: Eukaryota; Metazoa; Chordata; Actinopteri; Cyprinodontiformes; Rivulidae.